UACGUAGGUGGCAAGCGUUGUCCGGAUUUACUGGGCGUAAAGAGCGCGCAGGCGGUCGUACAAGUCGCGUGUGAAAGCCCCCGGCUCAACUGGGGAGGGUCACGCGAUACUGUUCGACUCGAAGGCAGGAGAGGGAAGCAGAAUUCCCGGUGUAGUGGUGAAAUGCGUAGAUAUCGGGAGGAACACCAGUGGCGAAAGCGCCUUGCUGGACCAAUACUGACGCUGAGGAACGAAAGCUAGGGUAGCGAAAGGG
This 253-nucleotide ribosomal RNA is filed under the name uncultured bacterium. RNAcentral describes it as "partial 16S ribosomal RNA". It matches the Rfam family "Bacterial small subunit ribosomal RNA", at positions 524 to 776 of the family's 1533-position model. The record is from RNAcentral.